This 465-nucleotide ribosomal RNA is filed under the name uncultured bacterium. Its description in RNAcentral is "partial 16S ribosomal RNA". It matches the Rfam family "Bacterial small subunit ribosomal RNA", at positions 338 to 795 of the family's 1533-position model. The record is from RNAcentral.
CCUACGGGUGGCAGCAGUGAGGAAUAUUGCGCAAUGGGCGAAAGCCUGACGCAGCGACGCCGCGUGAGGGAUGAAGGUCUUCGGAUCGUAAACCUCUGUCAGCAGGGAAGAACGGUCACUGUGCUAAUCAGCAGUGAAUUGACGGGACCUGCAAAGGAAGCACCGGCUAACGCAGUGCGAGCAGCCGCGGUAAUACGGAGGGUGCGAGAGUUAAGCGGAAUUACUGGGCGUAAAGCGCUCGUAGGCGGUAUGUCAAGUCAAGGGUGAAAUCCCCGCGCUCAACGUGGGCACUUCCUUUGACACUGGCAAACUUGAGUGUGUGAGAGGAUAGUGGAAUUCCAGGUGUAGGAGUGAAAUCCGUAGAUAUCUGGAGGAACAUCAGUGGCGAAGGCGACUAUCUGGCACAUAACUGACGCUGAGGAGCGAAAGCGUGGGUAGCAAACAGGAUUAGAUACCCGUGUAGUC